Molecule: ribosomal RNA, 446 nt
Filed under: uncultured bacterium
Lineage: Bacteria
Description: bacterial SSU rRNA
Rfam family: Bacterial small subunit ribosomal RNA
Source: RNAcentral
AUCCAGACUCCUACGGGAGGCAGCAGUGGGGAAUAUUGCACAAUGGGGGAAACCCUGAUGCAGCGACGCCGCGUGAGUGAAGAAGUAUUUCGGUAUGUAAAGCUCUAUCAGCAGGGAAGAAAAUGACGGUACCUGAUUAAGAAGCCCCGGCUAACUACGUGCCAGCAGCCGCGGUAAUACGUAGGGGGCAAGCGUUAUCCGGAUUUACUGGGUGUAAAGGGAGCGUAGACGGCAGUGCAAGUCUGAAGUGAAAGCCCCGGGCUUAACCCGGGAACUGCUUUGGAAACUGUACGGCUGGAGUGCUGGAGAGGUAAGCGGAAUUCCUAGUGUAGCGGUGAAAUGCGUAGAUAUUAGGAGGAACACCAGUGGCGAAGGCGGCUUACUGGACUGUAACUGACACUGAGGCACGAAAGCGUGGGGAGCAAACAGGAUUAGAUACCCUGGUA